GCCUCUGGAAACCGGGAUUAAUACCAAAUAAAAUCAUAAUGACACAUGUCAUAACGAUCAAAACUCCGGUGGUCUAAGAUGGACUCGCGUCCCAUUAGCUAGUUGGUAGAGUAAAAGCCUACCAAGGCGACGAUGGGUAGCCGGCCUGAGAGGGUGAACGGCCACAUUGGAACUGAGAAACGGUCCAA
RNAcentral lists this ribosomal RNA (188 nucleotides) under uncultured Eubacteriales bacterium. RNAcentral's name for it is "uncultured Clostridiales bacterium partial 16S ribosomal RNA". It matches the Rfam family "Bacterial small subunit ribosomal RNA", at positions 146 to 334 of the family's 1533-position model. Lineage: Bacteria; Bacillati; Bacillota; Clostridia; Eubacteriales. The record is from RNAcentral.